This 68-nucleotide transfer RNA is filed under the name Pandoraea anapnoica. RNAcentral describes it as "Pandoraea sp. LMG 31117 tRNA-His". Lineage: Bacteria; Pseudomonadati; Pseudomonadota; Betaproteobacteria; Burkholderiales; Burkholderiaceae. The record is from RNAcentral.
AGCGUCGUGGCUCGGCUUAUCCGCGCCGCUGUGGAUGGCGCUCGGCGGGUUCAUGCUUGUCGGCGUGA